Molecule: ribosomal RNA, 464 nt
Filed under: uncultured bacterium
Lineage: Bacteria
Description: partial 16S ribosomal RNA
Rfam family: Bacterial small subunit ribosomal RNA
Source: RNAcentral
GACGAACGCUGGCGGCGUGCUUAACACAUGUAAGUCGAACGGAAAGGCACUGCUUGCAGGGUAAUAGAGUGGAGAAAGGGUGAGUAAAAAGUGGGUGAUUUGGAAUGUACUUAGGGAUAAGCCUGGGAAAAUGGGUCUAAUACCGGAUAGGAGCCAUUUUUAGUGUGAUGGUUGGAAAGUUUUUUCGGUGUAGGAUGAGCUCGCGGCCUAUCAGCUUGUUGGUGGGGUAAUGGCCUACCAAGGCGGCGACGGGUAGCCGGCCUGAGAGGGUGGACGGCCACAUUGGGACUGAGAUACGGCCCAGACUCCUACGGGAGGCAGCAGUGGGGAAUAUUGCACAAUGGGCGCAAGCCUGAUGCAGCGACGCCGCGUGGGGGAUGACGGCCUUCGAUUUGUAAACUCCUUUCGCUAGGGACGAAGCUUUUGUGACGGUACCUAGAUAAGAAGCACCGGCUCCCUACGUU